Molecule: ribosomal RNA, 270 nt
Filed under: Triticum aestivum (bread wheat)
Lineage: Eukaryota; Viridiplantae; Streptophyta; Magnoliopsida; Poales; Poaceae
Description: partial small subunit ribosomal RNA
Source: RNAcentral
AUGCGUUCAGAAGCUGAUGCAGACCUUACCACACAUGCUGAAUUCUUCAUCAACAACCUCAAAGAGACAUGGAACCGUCACUACGAAAACUCAAGGGUCCAGAUCGGUCAUUUCCCAAUCGAGUAUGUCGCGACUACGAAGCAAGGAAACCGCAUGACUGUGGCUUUCACACGUUGGAAUACCUUGCAAAGUGGGAAGGCCGACGGGUCCCUGUCGUCACUGCUGCAAUGGUCGUUGAGCUCCGCAAAAUAUACACAUGGAACUGGCUGA